This 568-nucleotide long non-coding RNA is filed under the name Calidris pygmaea (Spoon-billed sandpiper). Its description in RNAcentral is "lncRNA (ENSCPGG00000017284.1)". Lineage: Eukaryota; Metazoa; Chordata; Aves; Charadriiformes; Scolopacidae. The record is from RNAcentral.
GCUUUUUCCAUAGCUAUUUCUGCUACAGCUUCCUGUCCUUGACCCAACGAUACAUUGUGAAGUUCUCCUGAGUCAAUGAAUCCUGAUAAAAUGCAGUAAAGGAUUUAAGGUUAUCAUCUGUCUCUCUCUAACUUCUGACAUCUCUUUAUAACAAGAAAGAGUCACAGCCAACUGUAACAGGAGGGCAGCACAAUGAAUCCUGGUGCUGAAGACCCCGUUGAUCCCUCAGUUUUGCCCAGUUGUGCUUGAUGUCUCAUUGGUGAAAGCAACAGGGUGCAGCAUCAGAUGUCAGCCGAGGAAAGCACUUCUAUGGCUGGAAACUGACCAUGUUGUCAGACACCAGCGUUCAUCCCAAGGACUGGGGAAUGACCUCAAGCAUGGGAGAAGCAUUACUGUUAUUUUGUAAAUAAACUUGUAAAAUGGUUCAAGAGGGCAAAGCUGAGAAAAUGGCUAGUGAGUUGCUUUAGACUAGCUUAUUUUGCACAAGUCAAAUAUUGCUGGAGCUGUAUCUGAAAUCUGAAGCUGAUCUGUCUGGCAAACCUAUUGAUGUCUACAUUGUCAAAAUACA